ACGGCAUGACGGGGACAUUUUCUGAUAAGGUCCUUUAAUCUUUCCCGUGAUUCAUGGAACUGCUCACCAUCUUGCUGCUAAAAGCUAGUGAGAGCUCGUCUUAUCU
This is a small nucleolar RNA of Cephalotus follicularis, 106 nucleotides long. It matches the Rfam family "Plant small nucleolar RNA R71". Rfam says of the family: R71 is a member of the C/D box family of snoRNAs containing the C (UGAUGA) and D (CUGA) box motifs. Multiple nearly identical copies of this snoRNA have been identified in Arabidopsis, and it is thought to function as a 2'-O-ribose methylation guide for 18S ribosomal RNA. Lineage: Eukaryota; Viridiplantae; Streptophyta; Magnoliopsida; Oxalidales; Cephalotaceae. The record is from Rfam.